CCGCGCGUCGCAGGGAUAGACGGCCCUACGGGUUGUAAACUGCUUUUAUACAGGAAGAAACACCCCGACGUGUCGGGGCUUGACGGUACUGUAAGAAUAAGGAUCGGCUAACUCCGUGCCAGCAGCCGCGGUAAUACGGAGGAUUCGAGCGUUAUCCGGAAUCAUUGGGUUUAAAGGGUCCGCAGGCGGUUUUUUAAGUCAGAGGUGAAAUCCUGCAGCUCAACUGUAGAAUUGCCUUUGAUACUGAAAGACUUGAGUUAUUGUGAAGUGGUUAGAAUGUGUGGUGUAGCGGUGAAAUGCAUAGAUAUCACACAGAAUACCGAUUGCGAAGGCAGAUCACUAACAAUAUACUGACGCUCAGGGACGAAAGCGUGGGUAGCGAACAGGAUUAGAUACCCUGGUAGUCCACGCCGUAAACGAUGGAUACUAGCUGUAUGUCUACCUCAGGUAGAUGUGUGGCCAAGCGAAAGUGAUAAGUAUCCCACCUGGGGAGUACGAUCGCAAGAUUGAAACUCAAAGGAAUUGACGGGGGCCCGCACAAGCGGUGGAGCAUGUGGUUUAAUUCGAUGAUACGCGAGGAACCUUACC
Molecule: ribosomal RNA, 588 nt
Filed under: uncultured Bacteroidota bacterium
Lineage: Bacteria; Pseudomonadati; Bacteroidota
Description: bacterial SSU rRNA
Rfam family: Bacterial small subunit ribosomal RNA
Source: RNAcentral